RNAcentral lists this ribosomal RNA (493 nucleotides) under uncultured bacterium. RNAcentral describes it as "partial 16S ribosomal RNA". It matches the Rfam family "Bacterial small subunit ribosomal RNA", at positions 29 to 507 of the family's 1533-position model. The record is from RNAcentral.
AGUGAACGCUGGCGGCAGGCCUAACACAUGCCAGUCGAACGGCAGCACAGUAAUUGCUUGCUCUUACGGGGGGCGAGUGGCGGGCGGGUCAGGAGUACAUCGGAAUCUACUUUUUCGUGGGGCAUAACGUAGGGGAACUUACGCUAAUACCGCAGACGACGUACGGGGGAGAGCAUGGGAUCUUCGGACCUUGCGCGAUUGAAUGAGCGGAUGUCGGAUUAGCUGGUUGGCGGGGUACAGGCCCCUCCAAGGCGACGAUCCGUAGCUGGUCUGAGAGGAUGAUCAGCCACACUGGAACUGAGACACGGUCCAGACUCCUACGGGAGGCAGCAGUGGGGAAUAUUGGACAAUGGGCGCAAGCCUGAUCCAGCCAUACCGCGUGGGUGAAGAAGGCCUUCGGGUUGUAAAGCCCUUUUGUUGGGAAAGAAAAGCAGCAGGUUAAUACCCCGCUGUUCUGACGGUACCCAAAGAAUAAGCACCGGCUAACUUCGUG